AAGUAACAAAACUUAGUGUUUGUUGAAUCACAUCUAGGGCAUUUUAAGGCUGUUUCAGGCAUAGGUAUAUUAGCCAUCCGGGCUCGAUCAGCCAUCGAGCCCGGUCUAAUAGAACCUGCACCACCGCCGCCAUGAGGCUGCAGUGGUGCUACUACUGGAGGACCAGGUGGUAGUACUGGCGGCGGUGGUGCAGAUGUAAGUUGU
Molecule: unclassified non-coding RNA, 204 nt
Filed under: Hevea brasiliensis (rubber tree)
Lineage: Eukaryota; Viridiplantae; Streptophyta; Magnoliopsida; Malpighiales; Euphorbiaceae
Source: RNAcentral